GACGUAGGGCGCGAGCGUUGUCCGGAUUUAUUGGGCGUAAAGAGCUCGUAGGCGGCUUGUCGCGUCGACCGUGAAAACUCGCAGCUCAACUGCGAGCCUGCGGUCGAUACGGGCAGGCUAGAGUUCGGUAGGGGAGACUGGAAUUCCUGGUGUAGCGGUGAAAUGCGCAGAUAUCGGGAGGAACACCGGUGGCGAAGGCGGGUCUCUGGGCCGAUACUGACGCUGAGGAGCGAAAGCGUGGGGAGCGAACAGG
This 253-nucleotide ribosomal RNA is filed under the name uncultured bacterium. Its description in RNAcentral is "partial 16S ribosomal RNA". It matches the Rfam family "Bacterial small subunit ribosomal RNA", at positions 524 to 776 of the family's 1533-position model. The record is from RNAcentral.